GAGUGGGAAAGAGAUAGUAAUGCACGAUACGGAACCGUUUCGGGGGAGCUGUGACGCCAACCGCAAAGCCCUAAACCCUUCUGUCCCGCAGCUCUGCAACUGAAGUCGAGGCGAAACUAUUUCGUGUUUUUCUCCCUCACCUUGCACUCGCCAAUGGCUUCAGGCUGCGGCAGAAUUGCGCAAAGGACGUUUCUUGCGUCCGUAAAAUCUUCCAUCAAAUCCAAUCUUCGCACUUGUUCAUCCAGAUCAGCCACAAUUCCAGCUAUUCCUGGCAAAUCAACCACUUCUACUUUUCGCAGAUCCUCCUUAACCAGUAAGAUUGCACCGGAGUUGGGAUGCCUGCAGUCAAUGUUGCCACUACACAGUGCGGUUGCCAUUGCAAGAAUGACGUCUUGCCUGAGCAUAAAUUCCAGGAGUUGCCGAGCGCUUUCUCAGGGCACAUAGUUAAUUGGGGAUCUGCGGGACCUACCUAUUUUGGCCUACAGCUUCAUUAUCAAAGCUUGGAUUGUCAGUACCAAGGUGACCUGCCAGGAGAGAAAUUAUAUGAUUAACGUAUCGGAAGGCUUUUUUGUUUCGGAUGUUUAUGGGGAUCCAGCAAGCAGCAAUUCUGUGAUUCUUUCAAGCUCAUAAAUUCGUAUCAUGACGAAUAAUAUUUAGCCUGCCUAAUUUUAUGAAAUUAUAUCAUGCAUAAAGCAUAGUUACUAAUAGAAACUCCAGACUAUCUGCACUUAUCUCCAUUUAUUAUUAUACUCGAUUUUCAAGUC
Molecule: RNA transcript, 764 nt
Organism: Prosopis cineraria
Lineage: Eukaryota; Viridiplantae; Streptophyta; Magnoliopsida; Fabales; Fabaceae
Gene name: protein NONRESPONDING TO OXYLIPINS 2, mitochondrial-like
Exons: 4
Source: RefSeq, a predicted model, not a curated record